RNAcentral lists this ribosomal RNA (267 nucleotides) under uncultured soil bacterium. Its description in RNAcentral is "partial 16S ribosomal RNA". It matches the Rfam family "Bacterial small subunit ribosomal RNA", at positions 26 to 281 of the family's 1533-position model. The record is from RNAcentral.
AGAAUCAACGCUGGCGGCGUGCCUAACACAUGCAAGUCGAACGCGGUUACCCCGCAAGGGGUAACUGAGUGGCGAACGGGUGAGUAACACGUGGGUGACCUACCUUCGAAUGGGGGAUAACGUCCCGAAAGGGACGCUAAUACCGCAUAACAUCCUGCUUUUGAACAGGUGGAGAUCAAAGCCGGGGAUCGCAAGACCUGGCGUUUGAAGAGGGGCCCGCGUCCGAUUAGCUAGUUGGUGAGGUAACGGCUCACCAAGGCGACGAUC